AGUGAACGCUGGCGGUAGGCCUAACACAUGCAAGUCGAACGGCAGCACAGUAAGAGCUUGCUCUUACGGGUGGCGAGUGGCGGACGGGUGAGGAAUACAUCGGAAUCUACUUUUUCGUGGGGGAUAACGUAGGGAAACUUACGCUAAUAGCGCAUACGACCUACGGGUGAAAGCAGGGGAUCUUCGGACCUUGCGCGAUUGAAUGAGCCGAUGUCGGGUUAGCUAGUUGGCGGGGUAAAGGCCCACCAAGGCGACGAUCCGUAGCUGGUCUGAGAGGAUGAUCAGCCACACUGGAACUGAGACACGGUCCAGACUCCUACGGGAGGCAGCAGUGGGGAAUAUUGGACAAUGGGCGCAAGCCUGAUCCAGCCAUACCGCGUGGGUGAAGAAGGCCUUCGGGUUGUAAAGCCCUUUUGUUGGGAAAGAAAAGCAGCAGGUUAAUACCCCGCUGUUCUGACGGUACCCAAAGAAUAAGCACCGGCUAACUUCGUG
Molecule: ribosomal RNA, 492 nt
Filed under: uncultured bacterium
Lineage: Bacteria
Description: partial 16S ribosomal RNA
Rfam family: Bacterial small subunit ribosomal RNA
Source: RNAcentral